UCCAAGACAUUAGCAGAAAGAGAAUUAUUAACGAGUUAUGGUAAAGAUGAAAAUGGAAGUGGUGGAUUUGAGGUGGUAAGUCUGGUUCUUGGCCUAGUGGGAGGGGAGACUCCUCUCAGUUACUUACCAGGAAGUGUUGCAGUGAUUACCUCUCAGCUACAAGACAAUGAAGCCUUAUACCAAUCUUUGAAGUUCUUAGAAGAUAUAUGUGGAAAAUGUCCAAUUGUCCACAUUGAUGAUGUUUGUGAAGCCCAUAUCUUUUGCGCUGAGCUUCCAUCUAUCAAUGGCAGAUUCUUGGUUGCAAACUCAUAUGCAUCAUCAGCAGAGAUAGCAAAUUAUUAUUCUCAAAACUAUCCAGAGUUCAAUUUGAAGGAGAAGUAAGUUACUACUUUCUAUACCAAAUAUUAGACAAAAAAUUACACGAUAAAUAUAUAUGUCUGAGUUGAACUGGUCUCAGAUCUCUUAAGUGAUGUCUCGAGUUCGAAUCUUGUAAAUAAACAAAUGUGAUUAGAAGAUAAGACCUUACUAUAUGUGGUCAGACAAGUUCCACAACGGAAAUUAGUCAUAAGCAAAGUUCGUAUAUAUUUGCACUAAUAACAUGCUUAUGAAAAUAUGUCUAAAAUCUAACAAAAAUUGACAUUUGGUUGUAGGUAUUUGGAAGGGCCAAACAGGGCAAUCAAAUUGGCCUCAACAAAGCUCAUAGAUAAUGGAUUUGUCUACAAAUAUAAUCUGAAGAAGAUAUUAGAUGAUAGUAUCAGAUGUGCAAGAAGGACCGGCGAUCUUAGUAUGUCAUGAUCUAUAAGUUGUAGCAUUAUAUUAACUAAUUGAUUAAUUAUAGACUUGCACCAAAAUAGAUAACAUCGAUAAUUUAUGUACGUGUAUGUUUGUGUUUUUCAUCAUUUCACUUCAUUUAUUAAGAAAAACAAACAGAGAGUGUCUCUGCCCUUGCAGCCAUGCCCCAAUCACUUUCUAGUUUCUAAAAAAAAAUCUUCUAUCAGAAGCAUAUACCUAAGCUAAUAAUCAUGCCACAACUGUGUUUCCUAAUCUUCCCCGCUAAGCUUGAAUAUCAUAAGCGGUUGGUGCUUAUGACCAGUUGAGAUUGUUGCUUAACUUGCUAAUAGGAACGUCAUGUUAUGUUUUUUGCCCCCUUUUAUGUUGGUUAUAUCUAAUGGAAAGUACCAAACUCGUUUUAGGGGUGGUUAUCAUAGCCACCCUUGUACUUGCUAAAGUACAAUAAACAUAUAUGGGGUUUAGACUGUUUAUGAGAUGCCUUGAGAAUGAUCUCAAGGUGGUAUUUAUAGUCUGUUGUGUGCUUGUUUCAGCGUGACUUAAACCUUAAGUAAGCUGGGCUUUAGGUCUUUUACCUGAUCUCUAGAUGCUUCUAGAAACCAGCUAAGGCGGCGCCAUCUGAAGGGCGUGCCUAUGGUCCAGGGAGCAUUCUGAAGGACGUCCUGACCCUUUUGGAGGGUUCUUGGGCCCUUCUAGAGGACUCUUAGGUCUUCAUAAAUAUAUUGAAGGUCCAACCCUAAAUUAAUUUUCUCAUAAUGCCUUCAGCAGAAGGUUGAAUCUCAAUUUGCAAAUGAAUGAUUCACACAUGAGCAAAAGGAUGAUAAACCUAAGCAAGAAAUGCGCUGGCGGAAUACUUAUCAGAUAAGAACAUUGUUAGUGUUCUUAGGAGGCAAAUCUGCAGCCAAUAAUUGACCUACAGAUUUUACCAAAUGGGGAUAAUACCUUUGCUCUACAAAGUGUGCUUUGCAAGGAGAAAUGUACAUAUGAUGAUAAGCAUAUUGAUCUCUUGCUUUGGUUUCGUGGUCUUUUUGUCCUCUAUUAGGGCCGAUAAUUUAGCUAGUUUUCCUUUUCUUUUCUUCUUUUUUGCUUUUGGUUGAGUGUGGUUUGGUCCUCUCAACUCUUUUUGUUUUUCUUCUUUUCUAUUUUAAUGGUAUUAGAUUAGAUAUGUUUUUCACUUAUCAUGAUUAUCGAAAAGAAAGAAAGAAUCUAAUGAAAAGGAGCAAGUGACAAAUGAGAGGAUUAUGUUGCAUUACUAUAAAGGCUUAAUAUAUCCUAUGAUCCCUUAAUUUAUUUUAUUUUUUCAGUUUGAUCCCUUAAUUAUUAAGUGUGUCAAUUUGGUCACAUAAGUCUUUUGUCAUUUACUAUUUUAGUCAUCUCUGUUGAUUUUUAACAUUAAAUGUUUAAGGUGAACCAUAUUUAAAGGUGGUCCACCAUAUGCAUUACUAAAAAAUUUUAUUUUAACCAUUUGAUUUUUUCUUUAAAAAAUAGUUGUUAAAUCAUGUAGGGUCUAUUGCACUGAACCACUAACACCUAAGUUAAUCCAUUUAUCUUUUUCUUCCCUCAUCAUCUUCAACAACAACUUCAUCAAUAAACUCCAUAAAAUCCCAAAAAUAAUAAUUAAACCUACUAUUUAAUAACCACACAACCAUUAUCAUCUUCAUCAAUCAUCAUCAACAUCCCUCUUCCUAAAUAUUCUUCUUCAUCUUCAAAUCACAAUCUAUUAUUUUCAAACAAAAAAUUCAAAAUUAAAAACUGAAAUUAUGUUUAAAUUCAUCAAAAUUAGCCCAACAACAUAUAAUCAUUAUUAUUAGAAAUUAAAAAUAUUAUUAUAAUAUUAUUAUUAUUAUUAUUAAAAUUGUUGUUUAAUUUGAAAUUAAAAAGAAAAGAAAAGAGAGAACAGGACAGAGAAAUUAAAGAGAAAAGAAAAGAGAUUAAGACAUAACACGAUAGAGAAAGGGGGGAGAAUGUGAUUUUAGGGUUUCAACUCCAUCCUUCAUGUUCGAUUUCGACCUUCAUCCAUCAUCAAUUUGAUUUCGCAAUUCCACUCCUCUUCUCGUUUGGGUUCGCGAUUUCGACCUCCCUCCGUCACGAUUCUGCCGUCGUGUUUGUUGUGACCUGUGUUUUCUUCUAUCAAUUUCGCCAUUAAUUUCAUCAUCACUGAGUUGCGUUUUUAGAAUUCGAAAUUUCCAUUUCUUGAUUUGUCAGAAUUCAAAGUUAUUAUUUCCCACAAUAUCAUUUUUUUGCAAUAUAAUGUUUAAGGGUUUGAUUUUGGGUUCCAUAUGAAAAAAGCAUUUAGAUAAUUGAAACUGGGUUUGAGCAGCAAGAUGUUUAAGGUUUUUUUUUUCUUCAUCUUUUUCUAGGUUUGAGCAGCAGUUUUCUCUCCAUAUAUGAUGUUAAUGAAAUUUUUUUUUUUUUUUUUUAACUUUAGAAUGCAAAAAAAAUUAGUCGUUGCAUAUAACAGUAGCAUAUAUGAGAGAAAUGAAAGGGUGGAGGUGGGUGGUAAAUUUAUUUUCUUUAUUUUGAUAUAAAGUUAUUUAAGGUUUUUUUCUGGUUUUUUUUUUUUUCAUUUUUUUAUGUAUCUUGAAGAAGAUGAAGAAGAACAAAAAAGAUUAGGUGUUGAUGGGUCAGUGUUGUAUACAAUGGAUCUGCAAUCAAACGGUUGAAAUCAUAUCAAAAAACUUAAACAUUAAAAUACUAACGGAAAUGAUCGAAAUAGUAAACGACAAAAGAUUUAUGAGACCAAAUUGACACACUUAAUAGUUAAGGGACCAAACUAAAAAAAUAAAAUAAGUUAAAGGACCGGAGAAUGUAUUAAGCUUUUCUAUAAAACUUUACCUUGUCUAAUAGACACUGUAUAAUGUCUUUGCUAUAAAUACUCAAAAAAUCAUAUAUCGUAAUAAACACAUAUUCCAAACAAUCAAAAAGUUCCAUUUUUUCGUAUUUUUAUCUAUUUACCUUUAUGUCUUAUCUUUAUUUUUUAUGCAUUUUGUAGUGUAGAUCAAAAAAUCCAAAACAACUGUGAGAUAGUUCCUACCUCAGCUCAACAUCAAACACUUGAAGCAAUGAGAAUUGCAGAUGAGAAAACUCAAUCGACCGCAACUAAUUUGAGCCUCUAUUAAUAGAUAUAAUAAACUUAAGUAAUUCAAUAUUCAAAUGAUAUGAAAUGAUGUAUAAUCUUAUUUUAGAAAAAUGAUUUUAAUUACUAAUAAAAUAUUUGGUUGUUUAAAAAACUCACAACUGAUCACGUAGGAUCGGGUUUGGGCAUCAACUUUAGAGUCAACAUUUAAUUCUGGUUUUAAGUAUGGGAGCUUCUAAACAGCGACUUAGUUGAUAUAAUUAUAAGGAUGAAAACAUACAGUAGAAACUCUUUAAAUUAAUAAUGUCGGGACCGGAGAAAUUUAUUAAUUUAGAGAGUUAUUAAUUUAUCGAUAAAUUAAUAAUUAUUAAUUUAAAGAGUUUUUAAGUAAUUAUACUGUACAUACCAAACAAAAAGGCAAAUUAGUCUAUGUCUCUUAGAAUUAAGUUGCACCAAAUCUUGGGAUUCAAUGUAAAUUAAUAAAUAUUGUAUUCAUAUCCAUUGGAAAUAUGACUUUUGACUUUUGAAGUAUAUAGUAAAUGUAAACAAAUGGAAUGUUCAAUGUAUUCUUAAGCAAGUUUGGCAUAUAUAAAUUACAUGAAUGUGUUAAAAGUAUUCAAACCAUAUCUCAUUCACGAGAUGGCUUCUCAUCUAAAAGGUGUUGCAAAAUCAACUAUGUCAUAUCAAAUACGUAAGGAGUUGUGCGAGUACAAGAGAGAUAAUCCUGCAAGCACACAAAAAGACUUGCAGAGAUGGCUUGAGGGAAAAUUUCAGUUGAAAGUUAGUCAAGGAACAAUAUCAAACACACUUAAGCGGUCAAAUGACUAUCUCUCUGCUGAAAUAGAAAGGGGAAGAGCGGAGAUCAAAAGACACAAACCAGCAAAAUAUCCUGACAUGGAGAAGGUUGUUUAUGAGUGGUUUCUACAGCAUCAAGAACGUGUGAAUAUCACAGGAGAAUUAAUUUUGCAGAAGGCAAGAGAUACAAUGAAACUCUUGUACCCUCAUGAUGAUUCAGAUUUUAACUUCUCUACAGGAUGGCUUGGGAAAUUCAAGCACCGACAUGGCAUAAAGUUAUUUCGUCGUUUUGGCGAGAGUGGGUCUGUUGAUGUACAAGACAUGGAGCAGAAAUUGGUAUCGAUUUGAGAGAAAAUUGAUCAGUUCCCUAUGAAAGAUGCUUUCAAUAUGGAUGAAACUGGGUUGUUUUAUAGGCUACAAGCUGAUCAUUCACUGGCAACAAAACAACUUGAAGGAAGAAAACAAGAUAAAGAAAGGUUGACGGUAGUUAUUUGUUGCAAUGAAGAUGGCUCUGAAAAAAUCCCUCUAUGGAUUAUUGGGAAAUAUGCAAAGCCUCGUUGCUUCAAGAAUGUCAACAUGAAUAGCUUGGAUUGUCAGUAUCGAGCUAACAAAAAAGCAUGGAUGACUAGUGUGCUUUUUGAUGAAUAUGUUCAUUCAUUUGACCAAAUGAUGCAUGGUAGAAGAGUUCUACUUGUGGUGGAUAAUUGUCCAGCACAUCCAAGAAAUAUUGAAGGGCUAAGAAACGUUGAGUUGUUCUUCUUGCCACCCAACAUGACAUCAAAGAUUCAACCUUGCGAUGCUGGGAUAAUAAGAGCUUUCAAGAUGCAUUACCGUAGAAGGUUUUACCGCAAAAUAUUGGAAGGUUAUGAGGUGGGACAAUCUGAUCCAGGGAAGAUAAAUGUCCUUGAUGCUAUCAAUUUGGCAAUCCCAGCUUGGACGAUAGAUGUUCGAAAAGAAACAAUAGCGAAUUGCUUCCGACACUGUAAAAUUCAUUCAGCUAGUGAUGUUGUAGGAAAUUUGGAUGAAUCCACUUUUGAUGAAGAAACUCAAGACCUCCAGACUAUGAUCAAUCAAUGUGGCUAUCGUAAUAAGAUGGAUAUCGACAAUCUAAUGAACUACCCAGGUGAAAAUGAAGCAUGUUCGGAGGUUCAGAGUUUAGAAGAUAUUGUGCGUACUAUCAUUGAGAACAAUGCAGAGGAUGACGACGAAGAUGAUACGGUGUCUUUGGAGCCUGUUACGCGAAAGGAAACACUUAUGGCGUCGAACACUCUUCACAACUUUAUGAUACAAUACAAAAAUACAACACCUCAGCUAUUGGAUGCAAUAAGAAAAGUUAGAGAUUGAGCUCCAAACAGACUUGAACUUUAAAGGAAAACAAACAACUAUUGAAUCAUAUUUCAACAAAGUGUAAUAUAUUUUUUUUCAGUUUCUAUGAAUUAUUAAUUUAUGAUUUUCUUGGAACCGAAAAUUAUAAAGGAAUCUCCCAAAAAAUUAUUAUCUUAUUAUUUUAUCGAAUUAUUUAAUUUUUUACACUGGCCCAAGUCGGGACCGGACAAAUUUAUUAUUUUAGAGAGUUUAUUAAUUUACCGAGUAUUAAUUUAAAGAGUUUCUACUGUACUUAACUUCAAUUUUUUAGUGUAACGUUUAAUUUUGGUUUUUAGCAUAGCUAAAAAAAAACUAUGACUUAAUUGAUAUAAUUAUAAGGAUGAAAAAUAUAUUUAACUCUCUCGAAUCUAAAACAUAUCUUACUCUUUUGUAAAAAAAAAUAAAAAUAUCUUACUCUAUUCUUUAUAAAUUGGAAUUAUUUUGAAUAAUACGAAAGAUGUUAUUAUCGGUCCAACGAUAUUUGUUGCAUUAAGAAAGAUGAUAAAUGAAAGAAAGAGAAUAAUGAUUUUAUUCGAUUAACUAUUGAUAUUUUUUUAUUAUCAUAAAUGCAAAGUGGUGAAUAAUAACUUAAGAGUGAUGCAUAUAAUAUUAGUUAAGGAUACAAUUGAAAAAUAAGCAAUUGAAAUUGAUUUGAAAACUAAAAAACAAAUUUUUUGGACAAUUUUUCUUCAAAAUAUGACAAAAAAAUGUAGGAAUGGGGCAUUUUUCUAUGAUAAACAACAAACUCUUGUCUAUCCUUCCCCCCCCCCCCCCCCCAAAAAAAAAAAGAAAAGAAAAAAAAAAGACUAGUGUAUAUGUGGUCUUGAAAAGGAAUCCCUCAUCUUAAGUUCAAUGGACUGGAAAGUCGUGGAAAGUCGUGUAUAUGUGGUCAGAAGUAUAUGUUAAAUGGGAACCAUUUUCUACACGGGUCUAUCAUAUUACAGUUACUUAAUAAGUUAAGAGUUUCAUAACCAGCUAUAUAUACAUAACCGUUUGUUUCAAGAAGCCAUAAAAAGAAAAAAUAAGUUAGAUUAUUAGUGAUGGAAAGGAAGUGUAAGGUGUGUGUCACUGGUGGUGCUGGUUAUAUUGGCUCUCUCUUAGUCAAAAAGCUUUUAGAAAAGGGAUACACCGUUCAUGCUACUCUUAGAAACUUGAGUAUUAAUCCAUUCUCUUUCUCUCUCUCACGCUCCUCAUCUUUUUCUUUCUUAAAAUUAUAUGAAUUUAUUAAUUUGAGGGGUUGGAACAGUGGACCAAUCAUGUUUGAAUCCCUCUAUCGAUGCAUGUAGCACAUUGUAACAGUUGCAAAACCGUUUUAAAUUGGUUAAUUAAAUUUGAACUGUUUUGCAGUUGUUGUUAUGUGCGAGAUUAUUAGAGAUGUAAUAAGUGACGGAACAACUAAUUAACCGUGAACAUUCAUUUAUUUAUUUCAGAGGACGAAUCCAAAGUAGGGUUCCUUAAAGGCUUUCCACAUGCAAAUACUAGAUUGGUGCUAUUUGAAGCUGACAUAUACAAACCAGAUGGUUUUUGGCCUGCAAUUCAAGGCUGUGAAUUUGUCUUCCAUGUUGCUACUCCCUUUCUACACCAAACUGAUUCCCAGGUUCAUUUCCCCAAUAUUAAUUAUUAAUCUUUUGUUUCCUUUUAAUAUUUAACCAAUUUUUAGUUUUUUAGGUAUGGUAGCUUACUAGCUUUAGUCCAUUUCUGACAAGUGACACUUUAGAUAUACGAAUUAGUUUCUCAAAUUGUAGGAUUGGAUAAUUUUGUCUCAUUGAAUUUAAUUUUUUUUAUCACAUUUAUUUUCUAGACAAUGACAAAUUUAAAUUGACUGAUUCAAAAGGCUAAUGUGAUCAAUUUUUCCAAUUUUGUUGGUUAUGUAGAAAUUUUAUAGAUGUUGCAUGACUAAAGUGUAUAUGUAACAUCCCGUUUUUUCAACUUAAUUUUUUUUGCAUAAAAUUAGAGUAAUCAACUAAACAGGAUGUCACACUACAUUAAAAUAUAAAUAGAGUAAAAUUACUAUUUAUUCAAAACACUUCAUGUCAUCAAUUCAAAUCUCAUUGCAGCGGAAAACAUUAAUUGAACAACGUAAUAACACAACGACCUCAACAUAAACAACUCAUUAAAAUCCCAUUCUAGGUGGUUCAUCAACAUAAAAUCAUAGGAAUACGUAACACAUGGAAAACAAGCAAGAUCCACAUCCCGUUACGUAUCAGAGCAACCCUAAGACGACGCGUGAGAGAGUCAACUCACUUCAACAGCUAUUCCUGGUUAUCUGCACGUUACCCACGUAGAGGCAACAUUCAAACAGAAUGGGUGAGAUUUCACAUUCAAUAAUAAUAAGCAUAUAAUUCAUCAAAAGAAUUUAACAACAUAGACAACAUCAAUUAAUAAUAUUAAUUCUUCAUAUUGUUCUUCAUUAACAACUCAUUGAUAAUUGACAAUUUAACAACAACGACAUCAACUCGACAAUGCAACAACAACGACAUUAUCUCGACAAUGCAACUACAACAACUUAAUCAUGCAUGUGGUAUCAACCAGGGCAUCAAGCCCCCAACAUAUAUAGCAUAAAUAUACUCACAGAGCAUCAAAUCCCCAACUUAUAGAGCAAAUAGGCUCACAGGGCAUAAAGUCCUCAACUUAUAGAGCAAAUAGGCUCACAGGGCAUCAAGCCCUCAACUUUAAUGAGUAUGCAUGGACUCAACAACAAACAACUUACACCGCAUUGACAACUUAGACGACUUCAACAACUUAAUACAACAAACUUGCAACUUGGUGAUAUUUAUCAAUCAACAACAGCAUUGACAGCAACAACAACAACUUGCAACAUAACAACAUCAACAACAACAACUUGAAUGAUAUGAACAACAAUAUUUCUAUAUCAUACAAUAUUCACAUAAUAUAUGUAUCUCAAAUUAUCCAACAACAACAUUCAUAUUAAUUCAGACUUCACUGAACAACAAUAUAAUUAUAAACAACUUUCAUUCCUACCCCAAAGACCAACUCAGAAUGUUACGUGCGACAGAGAUCGCAAGAACCCUAAACAAGGUUGACUGCCACUGAGUAACUCGCAAGGCGAGCCACUCUACUCGCUAUGGCGAGUUCAGGAAAAACGGUACUCGCUAUGGCGAACAAGCUACUCGCCGUGGCGAGCUAAAAAUGAUGGCUCUCGGGAGUUUUGACAUUUUUCACUCAAAAAUCUCAUUUUUAACUUCCCUAUGCCCAAAUUUGAUCCAAAAACUUACCUAAUCAUUUCUAAACAUGUUAAGACACUCAAAACCAUCUAAAACUUGACCUCAAAAAUUAAUUUAUAAAAUCAUAUUUUUUUCACUGGGUAACUCGUUAUAGCGAGCGACAACUGGGUUUACUCGCGAGACGAAAGAGGUUACUCGCAAUGGCGAGCGGUGAAGAUGAUCACUCGCGAGGCGAGAACAGUUACUUGCUAUGGCGAGCGAUGAAUGUCAGUUCUACGGGCAGAAUGCAGUUUUGAACAAAACUCACCUAAUUCCAUAACUCUAACUUUAAAACUGAUUCUAAUCAUUGUUCUAUGAAUAACCUAAGGUUUGGACACUAUCUCUACAUCAAUUCAACAUAUUUCUACUCUUAAAUCAACCAAUUACAACUUCUAAACCUAAUUCUCAAAUUCCAAAAACUACAACCUACAACUUGUUAAAUUCGAUUUUCAGAAUUAUACCACUUAAAAUUAGAGAAAGUUAGUCCCACCCUUACCUUAGAUUCAUCGAUUGAAAGGUUCUCUUCUCUGGUUCUCCUCUUCUCUUAGUUUUCUCCCUUUUUCUCCAAAAAUAGGUUUCACGUGAAAAACUAUCUGACCCUAGUUUUUCCUAUUUAUUUCCUCAACCUACUUUAUCUUAUUUCCACUUAAUCCACUAAACUCUUCUAAAUUCCAAAACAGCCCCUCAACUUAUCAUUAUUUUAUUUUCAAAUCUUAUUCUAUUAAAUAAUAAAAUAAAGUCACUUAAUAAAACAACAACACACCACAUAACCACUUAAAUCACAUAAAUCAUAUAAAUAGACUAUAAACCCAAUAAAAUAAUUAAAUAAUUAAAUAGGACGUUACAGUACAACACUAAUAAUUUGAAGGAAAGAGACAGUUACAUAAUCUAGUUUUGAAUUAUAUUGUUCAAAAUAAAUAAACAGGCAAUUUAGUAUCUUAACUGAUUUAAGACCAGAGAUUAAAAGAGUUUAUAAGUCAAGGUACAAAGUUCAAGCAUCCACAAAGAAAAUAUAAUACUAACAUAAUAAUUAACAUGUUAUCAUUUACGCAUAAAAAAAAUAAAAAUUAGUAAUUAAUUAAUUGUAAAAUUGUUAAUGGAAAGUUAUUUUUUUAAGAUUACCAUAGGGGGAUUUAUUUUGGAGAAUAAAAAGAAUAUAACUAUAUAUCUGUGAGCUUAACUCAAUUAAUAAAGAUAUUAUAUUGUAUAUGUAAAAAUCGUGAUUCAAAUUCCAUAUUAACUAACUUAUUCACCUUAAAAAGUAAAUUUAUAGUCACUGAACUAUUUGAAAAAAGAAAAUAUCGCCUAAAAAAACUCUCAUUUCCUUAUAUUUCCCAAGACAUGAUUCAAACCAUGUUAAUAUCCUAUAUUAUGGAGUAUUAAUUUUUUGUUGGUAGCACAGUUUAAGAGCAUAGAGGAAGCAGCAAUAGCAAGUGUAAAAAGCAUAGUUGAAACUUGUAUUAAAUCAAGAACAGUGAGAAAACUGAUAUACACUGGCACCGUGGUUGCAUCAUCUCCACUAAAGGAUGAUGGGUGUGGAUACAAAGAUUUCAUCGAUGAAACUUGUUGGACUCCUCUCCAGAGUCUUCACCUUCCCCUCACUCCUUUCCAUAAGGUAAAUACAAUAUAUACACACAUCAAUGUACUUUCUCACUAUGACUUUCGGUGUUUCUUUUUUAAAUAACAUAACAUGUAUUAAUUAUUUGGUGUGUAUGAUAGAGUCGUGAUAUAUGUAGUAAUACUUGAACCAAGAAAAUAAACUAGUGAUGUAAAUAAUAUGAUAAACAUAAAGUAUUUGAUCCACACAUAAUAAAAAAACAGACUAAGUUUUUAGCACACUUAGCGAUGACAUGAUAAAAUAUAUAUCAUAAAUGACAAAAUUAUCCUUGUGAAAUCAAUGUAUUUUUUAAAAUUAACUUUUGCUAUUUUAACUUUUUAUAAAUUAACAAAAAUUACUACUCAAGGUAAAGUAGAUGAUUAUGCACGGAAUGAGAGGAAGAAGUUGUGAAAGAGAUCGAAAAAAUAUUGAAAAAUGUUUGGAUUUUAAUAUUCUAAUAUUCAAAUUGUGUUGCUUAACAUAUGGAAUAGAAAUAUUAAUUUUAGUUGCAAAAAAAAAAGUAUAUUAAUUUUAUUAUUAGCCCUGCCUAAAGGAUCACACAAACGUUUUUUAUAGAAUAAGUUUAGGCAGGUUGGAUUUUGUGGCUCAUUAGAGUUUGAACAAAUUUUAAGGUUUAAAGUGUUCUAAAAAUUGUACUUAAUUAUAUAUAAUUCAUCAAAGAGAUCCUCACAUUAUUAGUGAGGGUUGAACUCACGCUCUUGCGGGGUGAACCCACACUCUUGGAGGAUAUGAACUAAUUCAUCAAUCCCAAACUUUUGUCUUUUCAGAAGAGGUGAAAAACCACUUCAUAUUUUUAUCUAUAUCAUUUUUUUUAUGGACUAUAACAUCUUGUAAACACAUCCUAACACUCAUGAAAUAUUGCUUAUACCUUUUAUUCUUUUAAUUAUUCGAAUAAUAAUUAAAAAAAUUAAUUUUACAUUUUGAUUUUUUUGUAAAUUUGCACAAGACUUGUGAUCACCUAAGACUUACUCGCAGUUUAUCAUAUCCCAUUAUCAAAUAGUUAAUUCAAGUAUGAUAAAAUAACUUUAUCAUUUGUGCCCCUUUAUUCUCUACAUCAACCAUGGCCUAGAGUAUAUAUGAAUGGAGAAUUUAUUUUGAAAAGUUUGACAGGCGGUGAUGAAUUAUUUUUUCUUUUUUAAAUUAAGAAAACUAUAAAAUAAUUUUAAAGAUAAAUAAGUGUGAUUAAAAAUUAUAGAAUCAUUUUUUCAUGUUAUUUUAUGAAAUCUAAAAAAUUUAUCAAAUUAUAAACUUAUCCCUCCAAAAUCCUCCGUAGGUACCCUUGUCAAUUAAUUUUGAAUUCUUAUUAUCAAUUUUGAAAAUAUGGAAUAACAGUUAUGAAUUGAGAUUUUAAAGCUAAUAAAAUGGUGCUAUGUCGAUUGUCUAAUAAAGUUGAAGAGAAUGAAAGUUGAUGUAGACUAACAUGUGUACUAAUCCUUGAUAUUAAACUUGAAAUCACACCGAGAUCGAUGAAAUUACAUUGACAUCAUAAUUUUAUUGAAAUAUUGAAUUGCAACUUUAGGCUAAAUCAAUAUUACACACUAUGACUAAGCCAAAUUCACCGUCAAUAUAAAGAUACACAUGUGGUGUUCUUGCUUCAAGUGAAUCUCUAACUCGAUAUAUAACAAAUCAUGGUUAAUUAUUUAUAGGAUUACGCUUAUUCCAAGACAUUGGCAGAGAGAGAAUUAUUAACCAGUAACGGUAAAGAUGAAAAUGGAAAUGGUGGAAUUGAGGUGGUAACUUUGGCUGUGGGCCUAGUGGGAGGAGAUGCUCUUCUCAGUUACUUACCCGCAAGUGUUGCAGUGAUUAUCUCUCAGAUUCAUGACAAUGAAGUCGCAUAUCAGUCUUUGAAGUUCUUAGAAGAUAUAGAUGGAAAAAUUCCACUAGUCCACAUUGAUGAUGUUUGUGAAGCUCAUAUCUUUUGCGCUGAAGAUCCAUCUAUCAAUGGCAGAUUUUUGGUUGCAAACUCAUAUGCAUCAUCAGCAGAGAUAGCAAAUUAUUAUCUUCAAAACUAUCCAGAAUUCAAUUUGAAAGAGAAGUAAGUUCUUACUAUACUUUCUACAUCAACUUAUACAACAUAUAGUAUCGAUUUGUUUUGAAAAUAAAUUUCCUACAAAGUGAAAUCUCUUAUAUCUAUCGAGCUUGAAAUCUUGAUCGUCAAAUUACAUAUUGGACAAUGUCAAGUAGGGGCGGAUUUGGCCUCACAAUAUCAUCAAGACACAAUUUUUUGCAGGUCUGCAUCAAUGGCGGAGCCAGAAGUUAAUUUUUGAAGGGGCAAGUUUUUAGUGUAUAUAUAUUAUUUAUCAAAAUAGUUAUUCAUAAAAAAAUUGUAGGUAUGAUGGUACAUACUAUUGGGUUUUACGUCAGGAAUCCCGACUCAACAUGGGCAAAUCAAGAAUCUAACUCAAGUUCCACACCUGAAUAGGGCGCACCUUUACUAGUGAACUACACCUUACACAUAUGAUUAAUUCACAAAGAUUGAUUUAUAUACUAACAUUUAGCUAAAUAUUAAAAAUAAAAAUAAAAAAAUUGAGUCUGGACUUGUGUAGCACUUGCCAUAUCAGGCCUAGUCCAGAUCCGCCCCUGAUGUCAAGCCGGUGAGUGAGACACUUAGGUGCAACUAAUCUAAAGUUUACAAAUAGUUUAUGGAAAAUAGACACGUGUUAAAAGAUUAUUAUAAACCCAAUGUUUCAAAAGUAGUAAAUUUAAUUAUUAUUUUUAAAAAUUAAUAAUGCAAAAUUUUACUUUUGAAUUCUUUAAAAUGUGUUAAAAAAGGAGAUAUAUUUGCAACAAGCGUAAUUUAUCAUAAACUUUUUUUACGUUGGUCCGCCUAAAAAAGACGGGUAUUUAUAUUUAGACACACUUUUACUCGUUAUACACUCAACCGAGAUCCACAUAGCACACAUGAUGUAAGACUAAUAAUAAGACAGACAUAGUUUAUAUCCAAUCAUGUUUUGCCAUAAAUAGGUGUUAAAAGGAGGUAUGAAAUGAAAAGAUGUUUAUAAGUAUUUUCCUAAACAAAAAACAUUAUGUUGGUCUGAGUUAAAUUUAACUCAGACCUCUUAAGCAAUGUCUUGAGUUCCAACCUUGUAGAUGAAAAGAAGAAGAAAAAAAAAGGUGAUCGAAAUAUAAGACCCUACUAAAGAUGGUUAGAUUGAUUCUGUACUGAAAAUAAUCAUUCACAAUGUUGGUAGAUAUUUUGAACCAAUAAUAUGCUUUUGAAAAAAUAUCUAAAAUCUUACAAUAUUUGACAUCUGAUUUUAGGUAUUUGGAAGAGCCAAACAAAGCAAUCAAAUGGGCAUCAACAAAGCUCACGGACAAAGGGUUUGUCUAUAAAUAUGAUCUCAAGAUGAUACUAGACGAUAGUGUCAAAUGCGGAAGAAGGACGGGCGAUUUUAGUAUGUAAUGAUGGAUGAUCUUGAGUUCGAUUCUCACAAGUUAAAAAUGUAUAUUGGCCAACCUAUAUUUGAUUUCCGAACAAACGAAUAUUAAUAUUACGUUGGCAGGAUGUAGACACUAUGAGAUUAGUCAACCAUCAUCUUAAUAAAAAAAUACAAUUUGUAAUGAUUUUUUUAAGGAUUGUAAUGAUAUCUUAUAAAUUGUGGUUAUACUAAUUAAUGAUGGACUCUUCAUACACUGUGUGGAAUAAUUUAUUAAGAGGUCACUUGGACUCUUCACUCUUCCAUGAUAUUUUUUAUGUGAAAAUUAUCUAGUUGAUCUCAUUUUUGUUCUUGAAAUUGUUUAGUGGAGCAAUUUAGUCCUUAAACUUACAAAAUAACAAAUUAGUCUUUGAAUUUAAUAAGUUAAAUCAAUUUAAUUUGUUCAUCCAUCAAAGUAUAUCUUUUGUAAACAUCAAUCAAAACCAAUAAAAAAAACGUAUAUAUAUAUAUAUAUAUAUAUGACUUGAAUAGUCUUUGACGAGUGUAUGUAUAACUUUAUAGUUGUGUAUAACCUUAUAAUUGUGAUGCUAUUUUUAUAAAUGAUGCUUUUGCAUAUACAGUGAAAUAUAUUUUAGCAUGAUUUUUCUGUGGCAAAAUUAAGUGAAAUAGAUUUGCUUGCUACUAGUUGAAAGUGAAGCCCGAAUUCGAGAUACGAUACGGAUACGAUACUGCACCAAUAUGUUGAUAUAAAAAAAUUUCAAAACUCAAGAUACGAUACGGCUAAGAUACGUUAAUAAAAGAAUUAUUUAAUUAGAUGUACAAUAUAAUUAUAAUCAUUUUUUAAUAUGAAAAUAUAUUAACAUACAAAAGAAACCGAUCAUAGGCUCGUAGUACAUCAACAUAAAUAUAAAUAAUAUUGACGAUUAAGAGAGUGAUAAUUAAUCAAUUACAUACACAAUAUAUCCUAAAAGGAGCAUCAUCAGUGGUAUACUAUAUCCAAAAGAAAUAUUAUUAGUGCUAUACUAUAUCGAUAAAAUAAAAAGCACUAUAUCCAAAAAAGAACACAUCAGUACUCAAGAAUUAAGUUAUUUUAAUUAACAUUAAUUAGGAAGUUUUGGGGAAGAUAUCAGUGCAUGAUAAUUAUCAGAUACUCUCUUGAUAUGUAUCGGGAAGCAUCUGAUAAUUAUUAUUUUUUUAAAAUAAAAUUUAAUCUUCGGAUGCUCUCCUGAUACAUAUCGAGAAGUAUCAGACAAGUAUCGGUGCAGAAUACGUAAAAGAUACGAUACGUCAUCCAUUUUGAAGUAUCGAAGCUUCCCGUGCUCAAUUAUAUUCAGAUGUUAGUGACUUUGUCAAGUACAUUUUUAUAGAUUUUGGAAUUGGAUACAAUGUGAAAUUCACACUGUGUCAAAGAAUCAAAUGUAGUUGAAAAGAAAAGGAAGAGAAACAUAAAAUACUCUCACCAUUUGGAUUAGUGGCCUUGGGGAGACGAGACCCCUCAUGUUUACUGGCAUAUUUAUUAGGUGGACUCCAAACUCCGAAGUAGUGGGUAGAUAAUGCAUUGUUAUUCUUUAUAUAUAAAAAAAUGCUUAGUUAUUGUUAUUGACUACCGUGUGUGGUCAGAAUUGUAUAAAUAAAAAAAUCAUAUGUUAGAUCACGGGCUCCAUUUUGUAUAUAUGGUCUGAAUCAUAUUUUAUAUCAUGGGGUCCAUUUUGUAUAUAUGUACCUAUCAUGUGACUGAAGAGGGAAGAAGUUAGAGUAUCAUCAGUGAUGAUGGAAAGGAGGUGCAAGGUGUGUGUUACAGGUGGUGCUGGUUAUAUUGGUUCUCUCCUUGUCAAGAAGCUUUUGGAAAAGGGCUACACUGUCCAUGCCACUCUUAGAAACUUAAGUAUUCAUUCUCUCCAUAUCUUUUUUCCUUUCUUUCCACUGUCCAUUUUUUUCAGAAAAUUUGGUGAGUUCAUUAAUUCAAGACGCGGGGAUUAAAACGCCUGCGUCGAUGCAUAUAACAUAACAGUUGCAGGACCGUUAUUUUUUUAAUUAAAUUUAAACGGUCCAGCAGUUGUUACAAGCAGCACGAUUAAGAUUUAAGUUUAGAUCAAGCUCUUAAUUAUGCACGAGUUAAAAAUAUUAAUAUUAAAAAAAUCUUAUUAAAGGUGACUUCAUUUAUUGAUUUCAGAGGAUGAGUCCAAAGUAAGCUUUCUGAGAGGCUUUCCUCAUGCAAAUACUAGAUUGGUGCUAUUUGAAGCAGACAUAUACAAACCAGAUGAUUUUGGGACUGCAAUUCAAGGUUGUGAGUUUGUCUUUCAUGUUGCCACUCCUUAUCUACAUCAAACUGAUUCUCAGGUUAAUAUCCAAAUAUUGAUUAUUAGUCUUUUCUUUACGCAUGGCAAUGGGGCGAUGUGGGGACGGGUUUUGCCUUCCCCAUCCCCAUCCCCUACUCUCAUAUACUUACCCCUUACCCUAUCCAUAGCUAACGGGGAUGAGAAAUUGAAUCUCAUCCCCAUCCCCAAUGGGUUAUGGUAUUCCCGCUCCAUCCCCGUUCUGCAGUGAAUCAAUUUUUUGAUAAUUGAUAAAAAAAGAGUUUUUUUAAACUUCAAAGGUAAUAUUGUAAUGCAUUAUCCAACAAUUUGCGUUCAUUUUAACAUUUAUUUACCGAAUAAUUCAGUUUCUCCUUUAACUAUCAAUAAAAGUUUGUAUAUCAUGACAAUUAUCAAACCAAAUAACAUAGCAUAUCAUUAUCAACCCCCUCAACAAAAACAAAAAUAUGACAUUUCUACAUUCGGGUAGGGUUUGGAUAUGGGUUCGGGGUGGGUACAUAUAUCUCCGUUACCCGUCCCGUACCCGUAUUUUGAAAUCGGUAAAAACCCAAAUCCAUACCCGAUCAAAUUGAGGAAAAUCCGUCAAAUUGAGGUUGGCUUGGACGGGUAUUCAUGGGCACGAGUUUUUUUUCCAUGCCUACUUUUCCUUCCUUUUGGUUAUGUACUUGAAAUAUUUAGCCAAUUUUAUGGCUGCUUAAUUAACUUCUUCUAAUUGACACUUUAGAUAAAAGAAUCAUCAAUUUUGCUACUGAAAUUGUAGUAAUUGAUAUUUUUCUCUCUACAAUCAAUGAACUUUUGAAAUAAUCAUGAAUUUGAAAAUUUCUGUUACAUUAAUUAUAUGAAGACAAUUACAAAUUUAAAUUGACUAAUUCAAAAGAGCUAAUAUAUGUGGUCAAACUUUUCUAAUUUUGUACAUUAUUUAUAAAUUUCGUUGAUGUUGGUAGCACAGUUUAGGAGCAUAGAGGAAGCAGCAAUAGCCGGCGUAAAAAGCAUAGCUGCGACUUGUAUUAAAUCAAGAACGGUGAGACGACUAAUAUACACUGGCACCGUGGUUGCAGCUUCUCCACUGAAGGACGAUGGGAGUGGAUACAAAGACUUCAUUGAUGAAACUUGUUGGACUCCUCUCCAGAGUCUCCACCUUCCUCUAACUGAUUUCCAUAAGGUAAAUAUAGAGAGAAGGGAGGGUCAAGUUAAACACUUAUAUCAAUAAUAUUACACCAUUCAAUAUUGUUUUACUAGUGUAUAUUUUUUAAAUUUGGUAGAACUGUUACUUUAUAUCAUAUAUGAUAUAGAUCAUUUGCCUAAAACUUUACAUAAAGCUAAAAUCAUUUUAUAUAUUAUUGAGGCAUAUCAAAAUUGACGAUAUUCAAUAAAAGUGCAUAAACCCUUAAUUAUGAUAGGUCUCACCAGGGGCGGACCUGGACUAGGCUCGGUAUGGCAAGUGCCACACCAGUCCAAGCACAAUUAUUAUUAUUUUUUUAAUUUUUAGCUAAAUGUUACAUUAUAUAAAUCAAUCUAUAAAUUAAUCACAUGCGUAUGGUCUACUCUAGUGGUAAUGGUGCUCCCUAUUCAAAUAGGGAAUUUGGAUUCGAUUAUUGUUUUGCCCAUUUUAACUUUUCAACUAUAUUAUUUUAACUAAAAGUACCAUAAAAAAAUGCACAAUGCAUGUGUUGAACUGGAGUACCCGACAUAAAAUACAAUAGUAUGUAUGUACCACUAUAUAUACAAUUUUUUUUAUGAAUAACUAUUGUGAGAAAUAAUAUAUACACACUAAAGAAAUUGUCCCCUCAAAAAAUUACUCCUGGUUCUGCCAUUGGUGCAGACUUGCAAAAAAUUGCACCUCACUAAUUUUGUGAGGCCAAGUCUACCCUUAGGUCUCACUAACAUAUCAAAUGAUUUUAGAUUCACAUAAAUUCUUUUAUGAAUGAUCUACAUUACAUAAACUAACAAUUCAACCGUCAAAUUUAAAAAAUACUUACAGAGUAAAACGAUAUCAAAAAAUGUAACAUUAGACUAACUAUUUUUUUACAAAUUAAAUCUUACAAAAUAUGAUAGUAUUUUUUUUAUUUUUUUUGUAAAAUAGCCUAGCGGUUUGAGAAAUUCACCUUAAAGUUGAAUAUGGGAUAUCCGGGGUUCGAACCCCGACUCUGCAUAUAUUAUGCAUCAUCCCUUAUCAAGUGAGCUACUCUCACGGUGUAACGUCCUGAUAUUUAUAUUAUUAUUAUUAUUAUUAUUAUUUAUAAAUAUGUGUUUUGUGAUAAAUUUGUUAAAUGUAGUUAUAGGACAUGAACAUAUUUUUCUUUUGAUAUCUAAAUCUAAUUUGUUUUAAUUGGAUUCAAUAUCUUAUUAUAUUUUUGGAUAAUCGUGCUUUUAAUUUUAGUAGAGAGUAUCUCAACAAAUACUUUGAGUAUUUUAGUUCUAAAUAAUUUAAUCCUUUUGAUCCAACAAUAUUUUGUUUGAUUUUGUCUUGAAAGUGAGAUAUCAACUAUUUUAUUAAUGGUAUGUUCUUGUCAUUCUAUUUGUCUCAAGAUGGGUUAGUGGGAAUGUUCUAAAAUCAAGGGUCUAAUGAGAUUGUAGACUUAUGAUUUAGUUGGAAUUGUUGUCCAACGGAUAAACAAGAAAACAUAAAUUUUCGAGUAGUAACGGUACCAAUUUUAAAAUAGAAUUAUGAUACAGUUAAUUGGGUAUGGAUAAUUUAACAUAUACAUAAAAACAUUUAUUUCUCAAAGAGACUUUUAGGGCUGAGUAGAGGACCCGAACCCGCCCCAAACCGAUAAAACCGAUUCUGAAUUUUGGCUAUCAACAGGUUGGAAUGGGUUGAAUGGGUUCACAGGUGAAACAGUGCAGUUUCAGAUGGGUUGAUGUGGUCGGGGUCGGUUUUGCCCAAACCAAAACCGGUAUAACCAAACCCGACCGAACAUAUGCUGAGAAAUAAUGCAGUAGCUAUAAAGCCCAAAAGUGAACAAGCCCAAACAAUUAACCAAUCCAAUACCCUUCAUAUAAAUAUAAGUUUUCUACUUCUAUCCUAAACCGUGACCCGUCGAAAACGAGACCCGCCCAAAUCGAAUGUAAUUAUGGGCGGAAUUGGGCCUUGAAAUAAGUUGAUCAGUUUCAUUCAUCUUAGCCAGUUCAGCCCCGACCCCGACCGAUGCUCUACCCUAGAGACUUGGACCUUACAUUAGUUAAACCCGAUAAAAUAUGAGAUUGUAGAAUAUUCUCACCAACCCAUCUUGAGACAAAUAGAAUGACAAGAACAUACCACUAAUAGAAUAGUUGCUUGAUUAGGUGUGUACUCUUAAUUAAAAGUUGAUAUCUCACUUUCAAGAUUAAAUUAUUUAAAACUAAAAUACUCAAAGUAUUUGUUGAGAUACUCUCUACCAAAAUUAAAAGCACGAUUAUCCAAAAAUAUAAUAAGAUAUUGAAUCCAAUUAAAACAAAUUAGAUUUAGAUAUCAAAAGUAAAAUAUUUUCAUGUCCUAUAAGUAUAACUACAUUUAACAAAUUUAUCACAAAACACACAUUUAUAAAUAAAGCAAUAAUAAUAAUAAUAAUAUAAAUAUCGGGACGUUACUCCGUCAAAAAAAAAAAAAUAUCGGGACGUUAAACACGGGACUGUGAUAGUGUAAAUUAUUGUUAAACAUUGUUGCUUCUUAAUAACUAAACACAACAAAAUUUAAAUUGUACUUAACUAACAUAUUUCUACGAUUUUUUCACAAGUUAUGAUUAAUUUUUUUUUAGGGGUACGUUGCUUCCAAGACAUUAGCAGAAAGAGAAUUAUUAAGGAGCUAUGGUAAUGAUGAAAAUGGAAGUGGUGGAUUUGAGGUGGUAAGCCUGGUUGUUGGCGUUGUGGGAGGGGAGACUCCUCUCAGUUACUUACCAGGAAGUGUUGCAGUGAUUACCUCUCAGCUACAAGACAAUGAAGCCUUAUACCAAUCUUUGAAGUUCUUAGAAGAUAUAUGUGGAAAAAUUCCAAUUGUCCACAUUGAUGAUGUUUGUGAAGCCCAUAUCUUUUGCGCUGAGCUUCCAUCUAUCAAUGGCAGAUUCUU
This 20604-nucleotide long non-coding RNA is filed under the name Medicago truncatula (barrel medic). RNAcentral's name for it is "long non-coding RNA (MTRU_LNC008006)". Lineage: Eukaryota; Viridiplantae; Streptophyta; Magnoliopsida; Fabales; Fabaceae. The record is from RNAcentral.